Molecule: ribosomal RNA, 906 nt
Filed under: Triticum aestivum (bread wheat)
Lineage: Eukaryota; Viridiplantae; Streptophyta; Magnoliopsida; Poales; Poaceae
Description: partial small subunit ribosomal RNA
Source: RNAcentral
AUGCGCUCCGACGAGCACACGUUCGGCCCCGCCGGAGUGGGGCUGCAGCACCUUCACGGGCACGUCGAUAACCCCGACGGAGUGGAGCUGCAGCUCCUUCGCGGGCACUUCUUCUUGGACGACGACGACGGCAGCGCUAGGUUCGCGGACGAGAAAGCCUCGGCAGAGUCAUUGUCGGCGACGGCUCUGGACGCGGCGAAGCGGGCGGCGGUGGGAGUGGGCGCGCGGGUGCUCUUCUACCCGAAGCUGGCCUACAAGCUGGUGGCCGGCCGGCCGGCUCGGGGCAAAGCCUCGGAGGAGUCGUCGUCAUCGUCAUCGUCAUUGGCGACGACUCUAGACGCGGCCAAGCACGCGGCGGUGGGCGUGGGCGCGCGGGCGCUCUUCUACCCGACGCUCGCCUACAGCCUGGCCCGGGACCGCCUCUCGUCCGACUUCCACUGGUGGGACCGCAUCGACGGCACCAACAUCCUGCUCGGCGCCGUCCCGUUCCCGAGCGACGUGCCGGCCCUCCACGCCGACGGCGUCCGCGCCGUCGUCACGCUCACCGAGCCCUACGAGCGGCUCGUGCCCAAGUCACUGUACGUUAAACACAAGAUCGAGAACCUGGUGCUGCCAACCACGGACUACCUCUACGCGCCGUCGCAGAAGGACCUCCGCGAAGCCACGGCGUUCAUCCGCGGCGUCGCGGAGAAAGGGGAAUCGGCGUACGUGCACUGCAAGGCCGGGCGCGCGCGCAGCGCCACGGUGGUGAUGUGCUACCUGGUGAGGUACAAGGGGAUGACGGCGGAGGAGGCGAAAGCACACGUGGAGAGGUGCCGGCCCAGGGUGUCGCUGGCUCCGGCGCAGUGGCAGGCGGUCCAGGACUUCGAGGACUUCUGCCGGCGGCCGGCCGGUGGCUCGGAGUGA